GGAAUAUUGCACAAUGGGGGAAACCCUGAUGCAGCCAUGCCGCGUGUGUGAAGAAGGCCUUCGGGUUGUAAAGCACUUUCAGUAGGGAGGAAAGGGUGUAGCUUAAUACGCUAUAUCUGUGACGUUACCUACAGAAGAAGGACCGGCUAACUCCGUGCCAGCAGCCGCGGUAAUACGGAGGGUCCGAGCGUUAAUCGGAAUUACUGGGCGUAAAGCGUGCGCAGGCGGUUUGUUAAGCGAGAUGUGAAAGCCCUGGGCUCAACCUAGGAAUAGCAUUUCGAACUGGCGAACUAGAGUCUUGUAGAGGGGGGUAGAAUUCCAGGUGUAGCGGUGAAAUGCGUAGAGAUCUGGAGGAAUACCGGUGGCGAAGGCGGCCCCCUGGACAAAGACUGACGCUCAUGCACGAAAGCGUGGGGAGCAAACAGGAUUAGAUACCCCUG
This 440-nucleotide ribosomal RNA is filed under the name uncultured Shewanella sp. RNAcentral describes it as "bacterial SSU rRNA". It matches the Rfam family "Bacterial small subunit ribosomal RNA", at positions 358 to 789 of the family's 1533-position model. The record is from RNAcentral. Lineage: Bacteria; Pseudomonadati; Pseudomonadota; Gammaproteobacteria; Alteromonadales; Shewanellaceae.